Molecule: long non-coding RNA, 424 nt
Filed under: Phascolarctos cinereus (koala)
Lineage: Eukaryota; Metazoa; Chordata; Mammalia; Diprotodontia; Phascolarctidae
Description: lncRNA (ENSPCIG00000005005.2)
Source: RNAcentral
UUUUCUUUGAUGUCUCCAUUCAGGCUGUUCUAGCCACUUUUUCCUUAUUCCUGAUUUUUAGGCCUGGAUUAUAAUGAGCAGUGAGACUAUAAGCAGACGAAACAUAUUUAACUUUGAAGUGCCUUCUUCAGAAGAUAGAGCUUCUCUUCCUUUUCUUGUCCCCUGCUAUUUCACUAAAACCUGGAUGUAGUUUUCAAGGUGAGUAACUAAAAACAGGUAACUAAAAACCAAAAACUAAGAUUUAGUGCAAAUUUACCCAGGACCUUACCUUGGUCUUCUUUCUGUCUUUCAGCAUCAAAGGCUUUAGUUUUCUUUCCCUUCCCCAUUCUGUAUUUUGUAGGAUUAUAGAUGUAAAACUGAGGCUUAGAAAAGUAAAGUGAAUUGCCCAAGAUUACAUAGCUAAUUGGUCAGGAUUUGAACUCAG